RNAcentral lists this long non-coding RNA (2521 nucleotides) under Homo sapiens (human). RNAcentral's name for it is "non-protein coding lnc-FGF9-3:17". The record is from RNAcentral. Lineage: Eukaryota; Metazoa; Chordata; Mammalia; Primates; Hominidae.
ACACCGAGCUACCCUGCCGGCAGCACAGAGUGAACAGCGCCGUGCACCCAUCUGGGCCUGACCUGCCUACAUUGUUAGCCUAAAAUACUUUUAUCUGCGCAGCAGAGAAAAAGGAGCACAGACCUCACAGACAGACAGAUUGGGCUCAACAUGCACCUGGGCCUUGAGGAGAAUCUGCCUGUGCAGGGAGGCUCACAUGCUGACCGCGAGCAGACGGAACAAUCCUCGUUUGUUCAUGGAGAAACAAGACCACGGGUGACUCUGGGUAACUGAGACCUCAGGAAGUGAAACCUCAGAUAAAGGAUUCAACAGAGUUGGAUUGCUGAGAAUAAAAUUACGGAUUUCUCCAUAAUGGACACACGCACUUUUUGUUUGUGCUGUUUCCUUUAGAAUGGACGAUGAGUCAAAAUUGUUCGUUUAUGCUUCUUCACAGAAGGAUCUUCUGUGUCGUAGGAGGUGGCCUGCAGCAAUCUGGACAUUCAGUGGUCCUCCUGUGAUUAAUAGGUGAACGGAUGAGCUAUUCUGAUAAGAACUGGGGAACUUUUGCCAUUCAAAAGCAAAUAGAAGAACUGGGAGAUUCCUCAACUUAGCUUUUCUUUUUUUUGGUUCUAAAGUGACUGCGAAUGGAGGUAGAAGAGAAGAAAAGCUUUCAAAAACAUCUUCCAUUAAGAAAAAUAUGUAUCUUCAUGAAGACCUAUCUGAGUAAAAUUACUAAAACAUAAUGGCUUUCUUGAAAUAGAAUGGAAUGAAAGGCAUAUUAGGGAGUAUGAAAGUAUGAAGAUUUUAUUAACAUACUUCUAGAAGUUUAUUAAAUAUCUGCACAGGAACUGUAAUUUGAGAUCAGUGGUGGAAAGAGAAUAAAGGAAUCACGUGGACAUCAGCUCUGAGGCCUGUGGCCCCACUUGCUUCUGGGCUUUCUAUAGACAUUUGCUGGUGACCUGCCCAGGCAGGCUAGAGUACCCUUCCUCAUUGCACCCUGUGUUCCCAUCCUCUUUUCCUUCCUUCCUUCCUUCCUUCCUUCCUUCCUUCCUUUCUUCCUCCAUCCCUUAUGAAACCCUCGUUGUGCAGUUACUUAUUAGGUGCUGUGUGAGCGUCUGAAGUCUCCCCUCACCCACUUUUCCAUUUGGGCCACUUGGCCAGUGAUUGCAUCAGUACCAGGGUUCUAGGAGCCAUGCAGGGAUCCCCAGUGGGCAGAGCUGGCCGUAGCAUUUGGAAAGGAAGAGAGAGAACUGGAGACAAUGCCUAGGAACAAAAGCAGAGUCCAGACCCAGGCAUCAAGUGCAAAUCCAAAGGCUCUGGAUGAGUCAGUUCCCAGCAAAGGGACACAAGUAGGCACAGAAGGAAGGACAGCAGAAAACACUGGUCCAGAGAGGGCCUGCAGAGCCAGAAGCGAUGACGCAUCCAAGGUUGUGUUUGACUUCUGCACUGCCUCUGCAACCUGUAAGCACAUCUGAGCCAGUUCAGAAAGUAGGAAAACCAAAGUAUAUCAGAAAUGGCCUCUUAUCAUCAAGGAGAUUUUGGUCUAGAUUGCUUAUUGCUCAGGAGAAAUCACCACUUUUUAAAAAGAUAUGCUGAGAUAGGGUUUAGUUGGGAUAGAAAAGGUUAUUAAACUACGGGACACCCUUCCUUUACAGAGUGUAAGCACUACUACCCCUUUUGUUUGUCUGUUUUUCUUAUUUUUCUCACAGAUGCAGUUCCUGCAUUAGUAUUGAUAAAUGUGUGGCUGCUCCACUUGGAGUGUUUUCAAAGCAUAAAUCACAGCAUUGAUGGUGCUGUGGUUUGGCUCUUCCAGCCCUCUUAACAACGGUCUGAUGGACUUGGCGAGAGUCUAGCCACGUGUUCUGGCCUCUGUCACUCUCAUGGCUGAAACGCAUGCACACCCACAGAUGGGGGCCCCGUGGUAGAGAUGUGCCUCUACUUGUCAAAUAGACUGACUCCAAAUUCGGAAAUAUGCCUCAGGAAUCUAGAAAGAUAGAAAAGGAGUCUUCGUCACUGUAGGGUCUCAUUCACAAUAUGGAGGAGAGAUGGAGGGGAGUUUUUGGUAUAAAUUUUGCCUCAUAAAAAUUCUCCACGUUGUUUUGUACUGUAUGAGGGUAGCGAGAAAUUAGUUGAUGGUUAACAAUCAAGCUGGAGAAGAAUAUCCUCAAUUUUUCACAUGGAAAAUGAAAAACUACAACUCCUUCCAAAUAUAUGUAUGUUUCUUUUCUGAAGAUAGACGUGUGUGUGUUUGUGUGUAUCAUAUAACAUUUAUUUUUUGAUUUCUUUGUUAUCAACAGUAAAAAUACAGAAAAUGAUGCCAAAGAGAAUUUCUGAUUUUUCUUUCCUUGUUUUCCAUUAAAGUGUAUUACAAAUAAUGUCUUCAAACACAAUAGCAUGCAUAGUGGCUUAAAUUGGAUUCUUCCUGGGCCACUCUGUUUAGGAUCCAGGUUUUUAACAUUGUUCUUCUAAGUGCAUCCAUGUUUCCUGAGAUCCACAAAGCUUGAUCUCAUCCGUGGAACCACCUGGCCUAGAACCAGCUGCG